CCCUUUUCCUGGUUAGUGCCCCUAAGGGUCCUGCUCUGAUUUAUAUUUCAGAACCUGUUCAUGAUCUCCCCUUCACCACAUUCAAGGCUCCUAAAAGGUAAACCUGCCCAUC
Long non-coding RNA from Melanotaenia boesemani (Boeseman's rainbowfish), 112 nucleotides. RefSeq lists it as uncharacterized. NCBI's taxonomy places the organism in Eukaryota, Metazoa, Chordata, Actinopteri, Atheriniformes, Melanotaeniidae. The transcript has 4 exons. The record is from RefSeq and is a predicted model, not a curated record.